RNAcentral lists this ribosomal RNA (474 nucleotides) under uncultured bacterium. RNAcentral describes it as "bacterial SSU rRNA". It matches the Rfam family "Bacterial small subunit ribosomal RNA", at positions 28 to 507 of the family's 1533-position model. The record is from RNAcentral.
GAUGAACGCUAGCUACAGGCUUAACACAUGCAAGUCGAGGGGUUUGCUUCGGGCAAACGACCGGCGCACGGGUGAGUAACGCGUAUCCAACCUGCCUCUCUCAUUGGGAUAGCCCUCCGAAAGGAGGAUUAAUACCGAAUAACAUAAUGUGUUUGCAUGAAUUCAUUAUGAAAGCUCCGGCGGAGAGAGAUGGGGAUGCGUUUCAUUAGGUAGUAGGCGGGGUAACGGCCCACCUAGCCGACGAUGAAUAGGGGUUCUGAGAGGAAGGUCCCCCACACUGGAACUGAGACACGGUCCAGACUCCUACGGGAGGCAGCAGUGAGGAAUAUUGGUCAAUGGGCGCAAGCCUGAACCAGCCAAGUAGCGUGAAGGAUGACUGCCCUAUGGGUUGUAAACUUCUUUUAUAUGGGAACAAAUGUUGGUACGUGUACUAAUUUGCGUGUACCAUAUGAAUAAGCAUCGGCUAACUCCGUG